Molecule: ribosomal RNA, 253 nt
Filed under: uncultured bacterium
Lineage: Bacteria
Description: partial 16S ribosomal RNA
Rfam family: Bacterial small subunit ribosomal RNA
Source: RNAcentral
UACAGAGGGUGCGAGCGUUGUUCGGAAUUAUUGGGCGUAAAGGGCGCGUAGGCGGUGCGGUAAGUCACCUGUGAAAUCUCCUGGCUCAACUGGGAGUCUGCAGGCGAAACUGCCGUGCUGGAGUAUGGGAGAGGCGCGUGGAAUUCCCGGUGUAGCGGUGAAAUGCGUAGAUAUGGGGAGGAACACCGGUGGCGAAGGCGGCCACCUGGACGGUAACUGACGCUGAGACGCGAAAGCGUGGGGAGCAAACAGG